Molecule: ribosomal RNA, 253 nt
Filed under: uncultured bacterium
Lineage: Bacteria
Description: partial 16S ribosomal RNA
Rfam family: Bacterial small subunit ribosomal RNA
Source: RNAcentral
UACGGAGGGUGCAAGCGUUAUCCGGAAUCACUGGGUUUAAAGGGUGCGUAGGCGGCUUAGUAAGUCAGAGGUGAAAGUUCUGGGCUUAACCGAGGAAUUGCCUUUGAUACUGCUGAGCUUGAAGGAAGGUAAGGUAGGCGGAAUGUGACAUGUAGCGGUGAAAUGCAUAGAUAUGUCAUAGAACACCAAUUGCGAAGGCAGCUUACUGGCCUUUACUUGACGCUGAGGCACGAAAGCGUGGGGAGCAAACAGG